CAGGCCUAACACAUGCAAGUCGAGGGGUAGAAGAGGCUUGCUUCUUUGAGACCGGCGCACGGGUGCGUAACGCGUAUGCAACCUACCUUCAUCUGGGGGAUAGCCCGGAGAAAUCCGGAUUAACACCGCAUAAAAUCACAGUACUGCAUAGUACAAUGAUCAAAUACUUAUAGGAUGGAGAUGGGCAUGCGUGUCAUUAGCUAGUUGGCGGGGUAACGGCCCACCAAGGCGACGAUGACUAGGGGAUCUGAGAGGAUGGCCCCCCACACUGGUACUGAGACACGGACCAGACUCCUACGGGAGGCAGCAGUAAGGAAUAUUGGUCAAUGGAGGCAACUCUGAACCAGCCAUGCCGCGUGCAGGAAGACUGCCCUAUGGGUUGUAAACUGCUUUUAUUCGGGAAUAAACCUAUUUACGUGUAAAUAGCUGAAUGUACCGAAGAAUAAGGAUCGGCUAACUCCGUGCCAGCAGCCGCGGUAAUACGGAGGAUCCAAGCGUUAUCCGGAUUUAUUGGGUUUAAAGGGUGCGUAGGCGGCCUGUUAAGUCAGGGGUGAAAGACGGUAGCUCAACUAUCGCAGUGCCCUUGAUACUGAUGGGCUUGAAUGGACUAGAGGUAGGCGGAAUGAGACAAGUAGCGGUGAAAUGCAUAGAUAUGUCUCAGAACACCGAUUGCGAAGCAGCUUACUAUGGUCUUAUUGACGCUGAGGCACGAAAGCGUGGGGAUCAAACAGGAUUAGAUACCCUGGUAGUCCACGCCCUAAACGAUGAACACUCGCUGUUGGCGAUACACAGUCAGCGGCUAAGCG
This 806-nucleotide ribosomal RNA is filed under the name uncultured Bacteroidota bacterium. Its description in RNAcentral is "bacterial SSU rRNA". It matches the Rfam family "Bacterial small subunit ribosomal RNA", at positions 43 to 853 of the family's 1533-position model. The record is from RNAcentral. Lineage: Bacteria; Pseudomonadati; Bacteroidota.